UGCAAGUCGAGCGGUAGAGAGAAGCUUGCUUCUCUUGAGAGCGGCGGACGGGUGAGUAAUGCCUAGGAAUCUGCCUGGUAGUGGGGGAUAACGUUCGGAAACGGACGCUAAUACCGCAUACGUCCUACGGGAGAAAGCAGGGGACCUUCGGGCCUUGCGCUAUCAGAUGAGCCUAGGUCGGAUUAGCUAGUUGGUGAGGUAAUGGCUCACCAAGGCGACGAUCCGUAACUGGUCUGAGAGGAUGAUCAGUCACACUGGAACUGAGACACGGUCCAGACUCCUACGGGAGGCAGCAGUGGGGAAUAUUGGACAAUGGGCGAAAGCCUGAUCCAGCCAUGCCGCGUGUGUGAAGAAGGUCUUCGGAUUGUAAAGCACUUUAAGUUGGGAGGAAGGGUUGUAGAUUAAUACUCUGCAAUUUUGACGUUACCGACAGAAUAAGCACCGGCUAACUCUGUGCCAGCAGCCGCGGUAAUACAGAGGGUGCAAGCGUUAAUCGGAAUUACUGGGCGUAAAGCGCGCGUAGGUGGUUUGUUAAGUUGGAUGUGAAAUCCCCGGGCUCAACCUGGGAACUGCAUUCAAAACUGACUGACUAGAGUAUGGUAGAGGGUGGUGGAAUUUCCUGUGUAGCGGUGAAAUGCGUAGAUAUAGGAAGGAACACCAGUGGCGAAGGCGACCACCUGGACUAAUACUGACACUGAGGUGCGAAAGCGUGGGGAGCAAACAGGAUUAGAUACCCUGGUAGUCCACGCCGUAAACGAUGUCAACUAGCCGUUGGAAGCCUUGAGCUUUUAGUGGCGCAGCUAACGCAUUA
RNAcentral lists this ribosomal RNA (811 nucleotides) under Pseudomonas sp. RNAcentral's name for it is "bacterial SSU rRNA". It matches the Rfam family "Bacterial small subunit ribosomal RNA", at positions 56 to 862 of the family's 1533-position model. The record is from RNAcentral. Lineage: Bacteria; Pseudomonadati; Pseudomonadota; Gammaproteobacteria; Pseudomonadales; Pseudomonadaceae.